CAGAUGAUGCCUAUCAACUGUUUAAAAGUAUGGUUCUGCUAUCACUCUUGGGAUGGACCCUGCGGUGCAUUAGCUAGUUGGUAGGGGUAACGGGCCUACCAAGGCGAUGAUGCAUAGCCGAGUUGAGAGACUGAUCGGCCACAUUGGGACUGAGACACGGCCCAAAACUCCGUACGGGAGGCAGCAGUAGGGAAUCUUCCACAAUGGACGCAAGUCUGAUGGAGCAACGCCGCGUGAGUGAAGUAAGGGUUUCGGCUACGUAAAGCUCUGUUGUUGGUGAAGAAGGACAGGGGGUAGUAACUGACCUUUGUUUGACGGUAAUCAAUUAGAAAGUCACGGCUAACUACGUGCCAGCAGCCGCGGUAAAU
This 368-nucleotide ribosomal RNA is filed under the name uncultured Lactobacillus sp. RNAcentral's name for it is "bacterial SSU rRNA". It matches the Rfam family "Bacterial small subunit ribosomal RNA", at positions 180 to 525 of the family's 1533-position model. Lineage: Bacteria; Bacillati; Bacillota; Bacilli; Lactobacillales; Lactobacillaceae. The record is from RNAcentral.